This 339-nucleotide long non-coding RNA is filed under the name Elaeis guineensis (African oil palm). Its description in RNAcentral is "long non-coding RNA (EGUI_LNC068290)". Lineage: Eukaryota; Viridiplantae; Streptophyta; Magnoliopsida; Arecales; Arecaceae. The record is from RNAcentral.
GCCCCUUCUCCUCCCUUCUUCUUCUCCAUGCCACACCUCCUCCUUAGAUCAGAUCUAGAAAGAGAGAUUAGAGAGAGAGGAAGAGAAGAAAAAAGUAUUUCUCUUCUCUUCUUGGCAUCCUGUUCAGAUCCCAACAAAUCAGCGCAAAGGGUUCAUGCAACAGGAUUCUUCUUCGAGAUUUAGAAGAAGAAGUCUAGAUCCAAGUUAAGGAGCGAGGCCUACAAGGUGCUAGCACUCCGAUAGCCUCGGUGCUUCGAUCAAGCCAUCUCCAUAUAGAUGUCUGUAGAGAUCGGAUGCUUACGCAGCUACGACAGAAACCUCGGACAUCUGUCGGAUCCG